Long non-coding RNA from Capsicum annuum, 622 nucleotides. RefSeq lists it as uncharacterized. The record is from RefSeq and is a predicted model, not a curated record. The transcript is spliced from 2 exons. NCBI's taxonomy places the organism in Eukaryota, Viridiplantae, Streptophyta, Magnoliopsida, Solanales, Solanaceae.
AAAAAUUGCACUGCAUUAACACAUUUUCUUUUCUUUCCCGUUUUAGUAAUACUGUACGUUAUCAUGAAUCGCAAUUAUGCUUUCUAUUUCAUCGUUUUGCUUAUGGUGAUAUCUGUUUAUUUGGCUCCAAGAGUGUUGGGUUUACGUAGUGUUUGUGGUGGAUACUGUCAAUCCGACAAUGACUGUUGGGAUAGGAACUAUUGUCCCCGUUGUCAUUACGAUCCUGUAAAGGUUACCUACUUCUGUGGACGCUAAAGGAUCAUUGUUGAUGGCCAGCACAAUAUGAAAUCUAGUCCUUCCGACGUACGUUGCUUGGACUUUUCAAAAUUAUUGUCGCGUUCAUGUUGGAUUCUUUAAAAUGCACUACUUUUAAGUUUUCACGCAUCCGACAGGCACUGCGACAUUUUGAAGAGUCCGAAAGUAGAUGUUUUGUGGUUUAUUGUCUUUGCUUUUCUGUUUUUAUUUCCCCAUUUCAGCUCUUUCUUAUGGGAAGAAAAUAAAAUGACUAAGUUCUACUUCUACCUAGAUUAGAACUAUAUAUGUCGGAUGUAAUAUCAAGAUUGGGUUGUGUUGGCCUAUAUGUUUCUGUAUUUUAAUGUUUAAUAAACUCUAUCGUUAUUAA